Molecule: ribosomal RNA, 468 nt
Filed under: uncultured bacterium
Lineage: Bacteria
Description: partial 16S ribosomal RNA
Rfam family: Bacterial small subunit ribosomal RNA
Source: RNAcentral
GACGAACGCUGGCGGCGUGCUUAACACAUGCAAGUCGAACGGAAAGGCCCUGCUUUUGUGGGGUGCUCGAGUGGCGAACGGGUGAGUAACACGUGAGUAACCUGCCCUUGACUUUGGGAUAACUUCAGGAAACUGGGGCUAAUACCGGAUAGGAGCUCCUGCUGCAUGGUGGGGGUUGGAAAGUUUCGGCGGUUGGGGAUGGACUCGCGGCUUAUCAGCUUGUUGGUGGGGUAGUGGCUUACCAAGGCUUUGACGGGUAGCCGGACUGAGAGGGUGACCGGCCUCAUUGGGACUGAGAUACGGACCAGACUGCUACGGGAGGCAACAGGGGAGAAUAUUGCACAAUGAGCGGAAGCCUGAUGCAGCAACGCCGCGUGCGGGAUGACGGCCUUCGGGUGGUAAACCGCUUUCGCCUGUGACGAAGCGUGAGUGACGGUAAUGAAUAAAGAAGCACCGGCUAACUACGUG